GACGAACGCUGGCGGCGUGCCUAACACAUGCAAGUCGAACGGGGCUCUUUGGAUCGAGACUUCGGUCAAGUGAAUCUGAGCUUAGUGGCGGACGGGUGAGUAACGCGUGAGCAACCUGCCUUUCAGAGGGGGACAACAGUUGGAAACGACUGCUAAUACCGCAUAAACGUGUCGUAGGGAGGCAUCUACCUUGAACACCUAAAGAUUUAUCGCUGAAAGAUGGGCCCGCGUCUGAUUAGCUAGUUGGUGGGUAACGCCUACCAAGGCGACGAUCAGUAACCGGACUGAGAGGUUGAACGGCCACAUUGGGACUGAGACACGGCCCAG
RNAcentral lists this ribosomal RNA (327 nucleotides) under uncultured bacterium. RNAcentral describes it as "bacterial SSU rRNA". It matches the Rfam family "Bacterial small subunit ribosomal RNA", at positions 28 to 334 of the family's 1533-position model. The record is from RNAcentral.